GAGAGUUUGAUCCUGGCUCAGAAUGAACGCUGGCGGCAUGCCUAACACAUGCAAGUCGAACGAAGGCUUCGGCCUUAGUGGCGCACGGGUGCGUAACGCGUGGGAAUCUGCCCUCAGGUUCGGAAUAACAGCGAGAAAUUGCUGCUAAUACCGGAUGAUAUCGCGAGAUCAAAGAUUUAUCGCCUGAGGAUGAGCCCGCGUAGGAUUAGCUAGUUGGUGUGGUAAAGGCGCACCAAGGCGACGAUCCUUAGCUGGUCUGAGAGGAUGAUCAGCCACACUGGGACUGAGACACGGCCCAGACUCCUACGGGAGGCAGCAGUGGGGAAUAUUGGACAAUGGGCGAAAGCCUGAUCCAGCAAUGCCGCGUGAGUGAUGAAGGCCUUAGGGUUGUAAAGCUCUUUUACCCGGGAUGAUAAUGACAGUACCGGGAGAAUAAGCUCCGGCUAACUCCGUGCCAGCAGCCGCGGUAAUACGGAGGGAGCUAGCGUUAUUCGGAAUUA
Molecule: ribosomal RNA, 500 nt
Filed under: uncultured bacterium
Lineage: Bacteria
Description: bacterial SSU rRNA
Rfam family: Bacterial small subunit ribosomal RNA
Source: RNAcentral